This 497-nucleotide ribosomal RNA is filed under the name uncultured bacterium. RNAcentral describes it as "partial 16S ribosomal RNA". It matches the Rfam family "Bacterial small subunit ribosomal RNA", at positions 28 to 507 of the family's 1533-position model. The record is from RNAcentral.
GAUGAACGCUGGCGGCGUGCCUAAUACAUGCGAGUCGAGCGAACGGACGAGAAGCUUGCUUCUCUGAUGUUAGCGGCGGACGGGUGAGUAACACGUGGAUAACCUACCUAUAAGACUGGGAUAACUUCGGGAAACCGGAGCUAAUACCGGAUAAUAUUUUGAACCGCAUGGUUCAAAAGUGAAAGACGGUCUUGCUGUCACUUAUAGAUGGAUCCGCGCUGCAUUAGCUAGUUGGUAAGGUAACGGCUUACCAAGGCAACGAUGCAUAGCCCACCUGAGAGGGUGAUCGGCCACACUGGAACUGAGACACGGUCCAGACUCCUACGGGAGGCAGCAGUAGGGAAUCUUCCGCAAUGGGCGAAAGCCUGACGGAGCAACGCCGCGUGAGUGAUGAAGGUCUUCGGAUCGUAAAACUCUGUUAUUAGGGAAGAACAUAUGUGUAAGUAACUGUGCACAUCUUGACGGUACCUAAUCAGAAAGCCACGGCUAACUACGUG